RNAcentral lists this long non-coding RNA (222 nucleotides) under Marmota monax (woodchuck). The record is from RNAcentral. Lineage: Eukaryota; Metazoa; Chordata; Mammalia; Rodentia; Sciuridae.
CCUGGAGGGAGGAAGCAGCUGAGAGGAACCGAGUCAUAGUGGCUGCUGGAAAUGCCCCACUAGAAGCAGAUAAGCCACGUCUUGGCUCCUCCACUUUCUCUGCCUCCAUGGGCCAAGCCUAAUAAGAAGCAGCAGAUACAGAGGCACAGCCCUGUAACCCCAGUGACUCUGGAGGCUGAGGUGGGAGGACCGCAAAGCAAGGUAAAGGCCAGCCUGGGCAAG